AUGUUUCUUGGGUGCUCAAGAGGUACUGUAGGUAUUUUCAAUAAUAAGCCUGGUAAGCUGCCAGAUUUAGUAGCUGAAAGUAUUGUGUUUUCUCUCAGCUCUCUGAUGAUUUACCUCCUGUGGGAUUUUUCAUGUAUUUUGGUUGCUAGUUUUGCCGGGUGUUGCCCGUCUUGUCAGGCUUUUCUGUGUGCAUUCUUUGGGAUACAGUUGGUGAGGAAUGCACUGGCAAUGUGGAGAGGCCAGUCCUCUGCAGUGUUCAUUGUUGGUUAUCUGUUAUACACUCUGUCAGAGGGUUCCAGAAUGGUUUGCAGUGUGUUCUGUGAAUGGUUUUAAUAGAAAAAGGUAUUUCCCCUUUGUGUUUACAGCCCUCUGUCUCCUUAGAACCUAGAUUUGAAUUCACAGUAGUCUUAGCUAAAAAUCCUGACCAGUCUCAAAAACUAUGGUACAUUCACAAUUACUCAUCUCCUCUGAGCACCAAGACUUUGUUUCAAGAUCAAGCUACCUAAUCUUCUCUUUGCUCAAGAUAAUAAGUUUACUUCCAGGAGUCUUCUCAGUCUUCCAUGUAAAUAGAUUUCUAGUGGUGGUUUUCUUGUUCUUUCAAAAAUUGCUCAGCUGUGUUUGAAUGCCAGUGAUGAAAGCAGCUUAGACUGUACAUUUAGGAAAUAGUUGGGACUAUUCCCCAACUAUUCACUCAGAGGCAGAUCUGUAUACACACUAUAAAUGACCAUAUUGGCAGAUAAAAACUUUGCUGAACUUAGUUAAUACCUUUUUGAUGUUUAAACAAUUUUUAGUAAGAAUGCCAGUCAUCCUUUGAAAGCCAAACAAUAAAUUGUGCACAGAAUGGUCAAUACAAAGAUAAUGUACUCAGUUGCUGUUUGUACUUAAACAUUAGCCAGUUGUCAACAAAUUGAUAUCUAGGCACUCCCUGAAACAGGCCUUUGUUACUAACUCAGAUAAGGCAUUUUGAUCUCUUUUUUUUUUUUUCCAAUUGUGCCACUCCCCAUUCCACAAGAGAGCAUGGCUUUAUAGGAAAAGAUGCACAGCCUUUUAUACACCAUCAGGUAGUUUGCUCUCUAAUGGGGAAGUCAAGGCAAUUAUAUAAAAUGACUAAACAAUGCGGAGGUGGUGGUGGUGGUUUAGUCACUAAGUCGUGUUCGACUCUUGUGACCCCAUGGACUGUAGCCCGCCAGGCUCCUCUGUCCAUGNNNNNNNNNNNNNNNNNNNNNNNNNNNNNNNNNNNNNNNNNNNNNNNNNNNNNNNNNNNNNNNNNNNNNNNNNNNNCCCAGGUCUCCUGCAUUGCAGGCAGAUUCUUUACCAACUGAACUAUGAGGAAAGCCCUAAACAAUACGAGGUAAGUAAUACUAAAACACAGGGAAAGACUAAAUACUAUAAAGUAUACCAUGUACCUUAAAAGGAAUGCCAAUAAAUUCUUUUAGAGUCUUCAAAGAUGAGCAAGAUAACAUCAGAAACUGUAAAAGAUUAUAUACAAAGAAACAGCAUUUAAGUUAACGGCAUACUUUUCUACAUUAAUAAGACACAUCUGAAGAUAAAGGAAUAAUAUUUUGAAAGCGCCAAUAGAAAAUAGCUAUAACUCAGAAUGCCAUAUACCCAGCGAAGCUCUUAUUUAGAAGUGUGGGCUUAAAAAAAUACUUUCAGACAAAAAAGUGUGGGAAUUUACCACUCAUCUUGGAGAAUCAUAAUAAAAGUUGUAAGAGGUACAGGAAGAAGGAGUCUCUUAAACCUCAAAGGAAAAGAGUAGAUGGCAAGAAGAAAUGGUGCAUAAAGAA
This 1787-nucleotide long non-coding RNA is filed under the name Capra hircus (goat). RNAcentral's name for it is "lncRNA (ENSCHIG00010014978.1)". Lineage: Eukaryota; Metazoa; Chordata; Mammalia; Artiodactyla; Bovidae. The record is from RNAcentral.